AACGAACGCUGGUGGCGUGUCUUAUACAUGCAAGUCGAGCGGGGCAGCAAUGCCCAGCGGCGAACGGGUGAGUAACGCGUAAGCAAUCUGCCCCAUAUCAGGAAAUACCCGUGCCAACGCGCGGUUAAUGUCCAGGAGCGUGGCCUUCCGCAUGGGAGGUUGACAAGAGAUUUAUCGGUAUGGGAUGAGCUUGCGUCCGAUUAGCUAGUUGGCGGGGCAACGGCCCACCAAGGCGACGAUCGGUAGCCGGCCUGAGAGGGUGAUCGGCCACAUUGGGACUGAGAUACGGCCCAGACUCCUACGGGAGGCAGCAGUAGGGAAUAUUGCACAAUGGGGGAAACCCGUGAUGCAGCAACGCCACGUGUGGGAAGAAGCAUUUCGGUGUGUAAACCACUGUCGUGAGGGAAUAAGGCGUCUUCUCGGAGACGUUGAAUGUACCUCGAAAGGAAGCACCGGCAAACUUCGUG
RNAcentral lists this ribosomal RNA (467 nucleotides) under uncultured bacterium. Its description in RNAcentral is "bacterial SSU rRNA". It matches the Rfam family "Bacterial small subunit ribosomal RNA", at positions 29 to 507 of the family's 1533-position model. The record is from RNAcentral.